GACGAACGCUGGCGGCGUGCUUAACACAUGCAAGUCGAACGGAAAGGCCCUGCUUUUGUGGGGUGCUCGAGUGGCGAACGGGUGAGUAACACGUGAGUAACCUGCCCUUGACUUUGGGAUAACUUCAGGAAACUGGGGCUAAUACCGGAUAGGAGCUCCUGCUGCAUGGUGGGGGUUGGAAAGUUUCGGCGGUUGGGGAUGGACUCGCGGCGUAUCAGCUUGUUGGUGGGGUAGUGGCUUACCAAGGCCUUGACGGGUAGCCGGCCUGAGAGGGUGACCGGCCACAUUGCGCCUGAGAUACGGCCCAGACUCCUACGGGAGGCAGCAGUGGGGAAUAUUGCACAAGGGGCGGAAGCCUGAUGCAGCAACGCCGCGUGCGGGAUGACGGCCUUCGGGUUGUAAACCGCUUUCGCCUGUGACGAAGCGUGAGUGACGGUAAUGGGUAAAGAAGCACCGGCUAACUACGUG
This 468-nucleotide ribosomal RNA is filed under the name uncultured bacterium. Its description in RNAcentral is "partial 16S ribosomal RNA". It matches the Rfam family "Bacterial small subunit ribosomal RNA", at positions 28 to 507 of the family's 1533-position model. The record is from RNAcentral.